RNAcentral lists this long non-coding RNA (2013 nucleotides) under Homo sapiens (human). Its description in RNAcentral is "HSALNT0034426". Lineage: Eukaryota; Metazoa; Chordata; Mammalia; Primates; Hominidae. The record is from RNAcentral.
CAAGGAUUGCGAUAUAAACCCAGGCCUUCCAGCAGGCAAUGGCAACCCCCUUUGGGUCCCCUCCCUUUAUAUGGGAGCUCUGUUUUCACCCUAUUAAAUCUUGCAACUGCACUUUUCUGGUCCAUGUUUGUUACAGCUUGAGCUGAGCUUUCGCUCGCCAUCCACCACUGCUGUUUGCCGUUGUGCCGGACCCGCCACUGACUUCUAUCCCUCCGGAUCCGGCAGGGUGUCUGCUGUGCUCCUGAUCCAGCGAGGCGCCCAUUGCUGCUCCCGAUCAGGCUAAAGGCUUGCCAUUGUUCCUGCACGGCUAAGUGCCUGGGUUCGUCCUAAUCGAGCUGAACACUAGUUACUGGGUUCCAUGGUUCUCUUCUGUGAUCCAUGGCUUCUAAUAGAGGUAUAACACUCACCUGGCAUGGCCCAGGAUUCCAUUCCUUGGGAUCCGUGAGGCCAAGAACCCCAGGUCAGAGAACACGAGGCUUGCCACCAUCUUGGAAGCGGCCCACCACCAUCUUGGAAGCUGCUAGCCACCAUCUUGGAAGUUCUGUGAACAAGGACCCCCGGUAACAUUUUGGCGACCACGAAGGGACCUCCAAAGUGAACUUUGGAUGCCAUUCCACUUGAAGUCAAGAGAAGAAUACCUAAAGAGUCCUCAGUCCAGGGCCAGCCACUUACCUAUUAAGCAUGCAACUCACUUGCCUGAAGGGGGCAAUGGCAAGGCAGUCUCACGGACUAAGCAAGCUAUGAUGUUAGUUACAAGGAAAGUAUGACAAUAUCCUAUGGGAUGUGCACAAGGAGAGUAUCUUCUGGGAUAUGCCCAAGCCUGCGGAACAACAGACCUUUAUUUCUAGUGCAUAUGUAUUUUUUAUGAAUAGGAAUAUUGUGAUUAAUUCAGAGGAAAGAGAGAAGUUAUUACAGACUAGAAAAGAAUUUAGAAGCAAAAUGUUGUGGAAAUGGGCACCUUUGACUGAACCAUGUUUCUUGCUCGGUAUUGAAAAAUGACCUCAUUCCUUUGUAAGUAUUAGUCACAUUUUAAUGGGGACAUAUUCAACGUUUGUACAAGAACUCCCAAAUCUUCUGAAAGCAUUAUCAUCACACAUGGGUGAAUUUCAAUUACCGAUGGUGCCACCAAUUCAGUGUUCUUCCUAUAUUAUGAUCACAGAUGAAGGUGAGUUUUUAGAUGGUCAGUGACUAAAGGCUUUGAAGCAACUGAUGUCACUUGCUUUCCAUUUGUAUCCUUUCUGCUCUUAAUUGUUGCUUCUGCUAGUAAGCAGGAUGUAUUAUCCAAAACAUACUAGGCUUUGAAAAUGCAAGCUCUUUUGCUAUGCAUUAAUAUGAUCAUUUUUCUAAGUUAAUGCAUCAUCAUUACUUCCCACUUGGCACAUGGGAAAAUGUAGCACAAGCAGAACUAGGGUUUGAAGUCAAACCUCAAAAAAGAAAAAAAAAUAGAUUUUGCUCUUUAAUAGAAAAGAGAAGAAGUAAGGGCUGCAAGCAAAACAAAAAUAACUCUUGAGUUGUAUUUGGAAAAUGGCUGCUAGACAGGCAGAAUUUCUUGAGCACUUGGACUGAAGAUGGUCAUACAGUAUGAGAUGCUUUGCUUUUUCCAUUCAGGCAGAAUGUGGUUGAAAGGUGCUUUUAAAUGUCAUUCCAAGUAUGGCAGAGGUGCAGACCAAGGAAAGCCUUUAGAAUCCAUUAGGUUGCUUUUAAGAUUCCCCCCCGCCACUUUACCAUCUGAAAAUUAUUUUCUCCACUGUCAACAGGAGAUAAUAACAUCUAUCUUGCACGAUUGUUGUGUAAAGCAGUGAUCACAGUGCUGAUAUAGAGCAGCUACUCAAUAAAAAGAAAGGGUUUUGAAUGUUAAUGAGAGAAGUUAAAACCUGUUCAGACAAGCAAGAAGCAACAAACUCUUCCCUGAGAUUUAUUUUCCUUGUCUGUAAAUACAGUAACAGGACCUUAUUCUUUGGGUUGGAGUGAGGAUUAAAUCAAUAAAGCACAUGAAAAUAUGUUGCACAGAGC